This 458-nucleotide ribosomal RNA is filed under the name Serratia marcescens. RNAcentral's name for it is "bacterial SSU rRNA". It matches the Rfam family "Bacterial small subunit ribosomal RNA", at positions 75 to 526 of the family's 1533-position model. The record is from RNAcentral. Lineage: Bacteria; Pseudomonadati; Pseudomonadota; Gammaproteobacteria; Enterobacterales; Yersiniaceae.
GGAGCUUGCUCCCUGGGUGACGAGCGGCGGACGGGUGAGUAAUGUCUGGGAAACUGCCUGAUGGAGGGGGAUAACUACUGGAAACGGUAGCUAAUACCGCAUAACGUCGCAAGACCAAAGAGGGGGACCUUCGGGCCUCUUGCCAUCAGAUGUGCCCAGAUGGGAUUAGCUAGUAGGUGGGGUAAUGGCUCACCUAGGCGACGAUCCCUAGCUGGUCUGAGAGGAUGACCAGCCACACUGGAACUGAGACACGGUCCAGACUCCUACGGGAGGCAGCAGUGGGGAAUAUUGCACAAUGGGCGCAAGCCUGAUGCAGCCAUGCCGCGUGUGUGAAGAAGGCCUUCGGGUUGUAAAGCACUUUCAGCGAGGAGGAAGGUGGUGAACUUAAUACGUUCAUCAAUUGACGUUACUCGCAGAAGAAGCACCGGCUAACUCCGUGCCAGCAGCCGCGGUAAUAA